GAUGAACGCUGGCGGCGUGCCUAAUACAUGCAAGUCGAGCGAACAGACGAGGAGCUUGCUCCUCUGACGUUAGCGGCGGACGGGUGAGUAACACGUGGAUAACCUACCUAUAAGACUGGGAUAACUUCGGGAAACCGGAGCUAAUACCGGAUAAUAUAUUGAACCGCAUGGCUCAAUAGUGAAAGACGGUUUUGCUGUCACUUAUAGAUGGAUCCGCGCCGCAUUAGCUAGUUGGUAAGGUAACGGCUUACCAAAGCAACGAUGCGUAGCCGACCUGAGAGGGUGAUCGGCCACACUGGAACUGAGACACGGUCCAGACUCCUACGGGAGGCAGCAGUAGGGAAUCUUCCGCAAUGGGCGAAAGCCUGACGGAGCAACGCCGCGUGAGUGAUGAAGGUCUUCGGAUCGUAAAACUCUGUUAUUAGGGAAGAACAAAUGUGUAAGUAACUAUGCACGUCUUGACGGUACCUAAUCAGAAAGCCACGGCUAACUACGUG
Molecule: ribosomal RNA, 497 nt
Filed under: uncultured bacterium
Lineage: Bacteria
Description: partial 16S ribosomal RNA
Rfam family: Bacterial small subunit ribosomal RNA
Source: RNAcentral